Molecule: non-coding RNA, 136 nt
Organism: Brachypodium distachyon (stiff brome)
Lineage: Eukaryota; Viridiplantae; Streptophyta; Magnoliopsida; Poales; Poaceae
Source: Rfam
AAACUACUUCCUUCGUCCCGUAUUAAGUGUCGCAACUUUGUCUAAAUACACAUGUACCCGCACACUCAAACGUGUCUAGAUACAUGCGCAUCUAGACAAAGUUGUGACACUUAAUACAAGACAGAGGGAGUAUAUU